This 673-nucleotide ribosomal RNA is filed under the name uncultured bacterium. RNAcentral describes it as "bacterial SSU rRNA". It matches the Rfam family "Bacterial small subunit ribosomal RNA", at positions 94 to 803 of the family's 1533-position model. The record is from RNAcentral.
AGCGGCGGACGGGUUAGUAACGCGUGGGAAUGUACCCUUUUCUACGGAAUAGCCUCGGGAAACUGAGAUUAAUACCGUAUACGUCAGAGAUGGGAAAGAUUUAUCGGAGAAGGAUCAGCCCGCGUAAGAUUAGAUAGUUGGUGGGGUAAUGGCCUACCAAGUCUACGAUCUUUAGCUGGUUUGAGAGGAUGAUCAGCAACACUGGGACUGAGACACGGCCCAGACUCCUACGGGAGGCAGCAGUGGGGAAUCUUAGACAAUGGGCGCAAGCCUGAUCUAGCCAUGCCGCGUGAGUGAAGAAGGCCUUAGGGUCGUAAAGCUCUUUCAGUGGGGAAGAUAAUGACUGUACCCACAGAAGAAACCCCGGCUAACUCCGUGCCAGCAGCCGCGGUAAUACGGAGGGGGUUAGCGUUGUUCGGAAUUACUGGGCGUAAAGCGUACGUAGGCGGAUUAGCAAGUUAGAGGUGAAAUCCCAGGGCUCAACCUUGGAACUGCCUUUAAAACUGCUAGUCUUGAGUUCGAGAGAGGUGAGUGGAAUUCCGAGUGUAGAGGUGAAAUUCGUAGAUAUUCGGAGGAACACCAGUGGCGAAGGCGGCUCACUGGCUCGAUACUGACGCUGAGGUACGAAAGCGUGGGGAGCAACAGGAUUAGAUACCCUGGUAGUCCACGCGGU